UAACUAGCUUGUGUUAGACUCAAUAUGUUGUAAAGAAAUUUAAGUUACACUAGUUUUUAUUACAUUUAUUUCAGCUUGAUAGUUUGAAAAAGGUUGGUGGUGGAAAGCCAAGAGAAAAUGUUUUUUUGAUCAUGAAAAGGUAAAUGAUUAUGUUUUUAUUAAUUAUUAGAAAUAUGAUUAAAAGGGACCAAAAGCAAUUCAUUUUGACCGUUAUUUGUUAUGGAUUUACUUUUAACAUGACAAUUUGAUAAACUCGGGAGCUUCACUGUUAUUUUCGAAUCAGUUACAAUCCAAAUUAAAUCGAAAAGGAAAUGGGGAAAAGAUAAGCUUAGAAAAUCUAGUAAAUAUAUGGAGCGUUUUACGAGAUAUCGGCGACCUGGAAGAAAAUGUUGACGGCAAUGCAGAAAUAUAGUUUUAUGUAUAUUUUUGUGAAAUAAAAAUUAAGUAAUGUUA
Hydra vulgaris (swiftwater hydra) is the source of this 453-nucleotide non-coding RNA. Lineage: Eukaryota; Metazoa; Cnidaria; Hydrozoa; Anthoathecata; Hydridae. The record is from RefSeq and is a predicted model, not a curated record.